GCCGAGGUGGCGGAAUUGGCAGACGCGCUAGGCUCAGGACUUAGUGGGUUUACGCCCGUAGGGGUUCAAAUCCCCUCCUCGGCA
Molecule: transfer RNA, 84 nt
Filed under: Caldifarciminota bacterium
Lineage: Bacteria; Pseudomonadati; Caldifarciminota
Description: candidate division WOR-3 bacterium (hot springs metagenome) tRNA-Leu
Rfam family: tRNA
About the family: Transfer RNA (tRNA) molecules are approximately 80 nucleotides in length. Their secondary structure includes four short double-helical elements and three loops (D, anti-codon, and T loops).
Source: RNAcentral